CGUGGGUAACCUGCCCAAGAGAUCGGGAUAACACCUGGAAACAGAUGCUAAUACCGGAUAACAACAGAUGAUGCCUAUCAACUGUUUAAAAGAUGGUUCUGCUAUCACUCUUGGAUGGACCUGCGGUGCAUUAGCUAGUUGGUAGGGUAACGGCCUACCAAGGCGAUGAUGCAUAGCCGAGUUGAGAGACUGAUAGGCCACAUUGGGACUGAGACACGGCCCAAACUCCUACGGGAGGCAGCAGGU
RNAcentral lists this ribosomal RNA (246 nucleotides) under uncultured Lactobacillus sp. RNAcentral describes it as "partial 16S ribosomal RNA". It matches the Rfam family "Bacterial small subunit ribosomal RNA", at positions 116 to 354 of the family's 1533-position model. The record is from RNAcentral. Lineage: Bacteria; Bacillati; Bacillota; Bacilli; Lactobacillales; Lactobacillaceae.